CUUUUUCCUAGUNUACGGNUGGAGACGCGGCGUACGGCUCAGAUAUCAUGUGGCUAACCUGCCCUUCGGACGAGAACAACGCCGGGUAAACUGGCGCUAAUUCUCGAUAGGUGGAGAGGCCUGGAACGGUUCUCUGCUCAAAGGGAGCUGAGGGCAUGCUUCUCAGUUUCGCCGAAGGAUGGGGCCGCACCCGAUCAGGUCGCUGGUGAGGUAACGGCUCACCAGGCCUAUAACCGGUACGGGCCGCGAGAGCGGGAGCCCGGAGAUGGGCACUGAGAUAAGGGCCCAGGCCCUACGGGGCGCAGCAGGCGCGAAAACUCCGCAAUGCGUGGCAACGUGACGGGGUCAUCCCGAGUGUUACCUGCUGAAGGUGACUUUUGCCUGGUGUAACGAGCCGGGCGAAUAANCGGGGGGCAAA
RNAcentral lists this ribosomal RNA (418 nucleotides) under uncultured crenarchaeote. Its description in RNAcentral is "bacterial SSU rRNA". It matches the Rfam family "Archaeal small subunit ribosomal RNA", at positions 59 to 450 of the family's 1478-position model. Lineage: Archaea; Thermoproteati; Thermoproteota. The record is from RNAcentral.